GUGUCAGCCGCCGCGGUAAUACGGAGGGUGCGAGCGUUGUCCGGAAUCACUGGGCGUAAAGGGCGCGUAGGCGGCGCGGGAAGUCAUCGGUGAAAGUUCAGGGCUCAACUCUGAAUCGGCCGGUGAUACUCUCGUGCUCGAGCACUGUAGAGGCAGGUGGAAUUCCGGGUGUAGCGGUGGAAUGCGUAGAGAUCCGGAAGAACACCGGUGGCGAAGGCGGCCUGCUGGGCAGUAGCUGACGCUGAUGCGCGACAGCGUGGGGAGCAAACAGGAUUAGAUACCCUUGUAGUCC
This 292-nucleotide ribosomal RNA is filed under the name uncultured bacterium. RNAcentral's name for it is "partial 16S ribosomal RNA". It matches the Rfam family "Bacterial small subunit ribosomal RNA", at positions 505 to 796 of the family's 1533-position model. The record is from RNAcentral.